This 556-nucleotide ribosomal RNA is filed under the name uncultured bacterium. RNAcentral's name for it is "bacterial LSU rRNA". It matches the Rfam family "Bacterial large subunit ribosomal RNA", at positions 451 to 1010 of the family's 2925-position model. The record is from RNAcentral.
GACCAUCCUCCAAGGCUAAAUACUCGUAAUCGACCGAUAGUGAACAAGUACCGUGAGGGAAAGGCGAAAAGAACCCCGGGGAGGGGAGUGAAAUAGAUCCUGAAACCGCAUGCAUACAAAAAGUCGGAGCCUGGAAACGGGUGACGGCGUACCUUUUGUAUAAUGGGUCAGCGACUUACAUUCAGUGGCAAGGUUAACCGAAUAGGGUAGCCGAAGAGAAAUCGAGUCCGAAUAGGGCGUCUAGUCGCUGGGUGUAGACCCGAAACCAAGUGAUCUAUCCAUGGCCAGGAUGAAGGUGCGGUAACACGCACUGGAGGUCCGAACCGACUAAUGUUGCAAAAUUAGCGGAUGAGCUGUGGAUAGGGGUGAAAGGCUAAACAAACUUGGAAAUAGCUGGUUCUCUCCGAAAACUAUUUAGGUAGUGCCUCAAGUAUUACCAUCGGGGGUAGAGCACUGUUAUGGCUAGGGGGUCAUGGCGACUUACCAAACCAUUGCAAACUCCGAAUACCGAUGAGUACAGCUUGGGAGACAGUGCACCGGGUGCUAACGUCCGGAC